GGUUGGUCCAAGUGCAGUGGUGUUUAAAUUGAUCACAACCAGUUACAGAUUCCUUUGUUCCUUCUCCACUCCCAACUGCUUCACUUGAUCAGCCUUAA
Molecule: Y RNA, 98 nt
Filed under: Prolemur simus (greater bamboo lemur)
Lineage: Eukaryota; Metazoa; Chordata; Mammalia; Primates; Lemuridae
Description: Y RNA (ENSPSMG00000010980.1)
Rfam family: Y RNA
About the family: Y RNAs are components of the Ro ribonucleoprotein particle (Ro RNP), in association with Ro60 and La proteins. The Y RNAs and Ro60 and La proteins are well conserved, but the function of the Ro RNP is not known.
Source: Rfam by way of RNAcentral